This 468-nucleotide ribosomal RNA is filed under the name uncultured bacterium. Its description in RNAcentral is "partial 16S ribosomal RNA". It matches the Rfam family "Bacterial small subunit ribosomal RNA", at positions 28 to 507 of the family's 1533-position model. The record is from RNAcentral.
GACGAACGCUGGCGGCGUGCUUAACACAUGCAAGUCGAACGGAAAGGCCCUGCUUUUGUGGGGUGCUCGAGUGGCGAACGGGUGAGUAACACGUGAGUAACCUGCCCUUGACUUUGGGGUAACUUCAGGAAACUGGGGCUAAUACCGGAUAGGAGCUACUGCUGCAUGGUGGGGGUUGGAAAGUUUCGGCGGUUGGGGAUGGACUCGCGGGUUAUCAGCUUGUUGGGGGGGUAGUGGCUUACCAAGGCUUUGACGGGUAGCCGGCCUGAGAGGGUGACCGGCCACAUUGGGACUGAGGUACGGCCCAGACUCCAACGGGAGGCAGCGGUGGGGAAUCUUGCACAGUGGGCGGAAGCCUGAUGCGGCAACGCCGCGUGCGGGAUGCCGGCCUUCGGGUUGUAAACAGCUUUCGCAUGUGACGAAGCGUGAGUGACGGUAAUGGGUAAAGAAGCACCGGCUAACUACGUG